CAGGCGUCGAGCGGCGGACGGGUGAGUAACGCGUAGGAAUCUACCCAGUAGUGGGGGAUAGCCCGGGGAAACUCGGAUUAAUACCGCAUACGCCCUACGGGGGAAAGCAGGGGAUCUUCGGACCUUGCACUAUUGGAUGAGCCUAUGUCUGAUUAGCUUGUUGGUGGGGUAAAAGCCUACCAAGGCAACGAUCAGUAGCUGGUCUGAGAGGACGAUCAGCCACACUGGGACUGAGACACGGCCCAGACUCC
This 251-nucleotide ribosomal RNA is filed under the name uncultured bacterium. RNAcentral's name for it is "partial 16S ribosomal RNA". It matches the Rfam family "Bacterial small subunit ribosomal RNA", at positions 85 to 339 of the family's 1533-position model. The record is from RNAcentral.